Non-coding RNA from Neolamprologus brichardi, 797 nucleotides. The record is from RefSeq and is a predicted model, not a curated record. NCBI's taxonomy places the organism in Eukaryota, Metazoa, Chordata, Actinopteri, Cichliformes, Cichlidae.
UGUUAGACUCAGCGGGCAGCAUAUCUGCUGACUGACUUCCUUCUCCAUUUGUCUGAUUAGUCAGCAAGGGUCCAGCUUGCGCUGUGUUACUCUGACAGCAAAUCCAGCUUCCAUUCAGCCACAUAAACUGUUGAUGCUGCUAAUGGGAAAGCUCCGGGCUCCAGCUUUACUGACAAUCAUGUUUUUAGGUGCUGCUAAGCAAGGCCAGUGUUACUUGGCUUCUCAUUACAAUAAGCAAAUGCUUAACUUUUUCAACACAUAAGAAGGCAAGAUGCAGGAUGCUUGGAGGUCUACUCUUCUCGAAAAGAAAUUAGGGGAACACUUGAUCGGUGCACUAUACGCCAGCACAUGUUACCCUUUGCAGCGUGUUCUUUCUCAACCUGUGGAGAGACUUCAUCAGGAUGUGUGAAUGCAGGCCAAUAUCAUGCAGCUCAACAAGCAGCUAAAGGACAUUUGGACCUCAUGCCACCCUCAUGGAGACUGUUUCUGACACUUUGGACAAGAACGUGCAAAUGAGUAGCCCACUGGAGGUCAUUUUGUAGGACGGUACUCCUCAUGUUCGUCCUUGCAAAAAGGAGCAGAGUUUCACACGCCUCACAAACCACAGUUUUCCUGAAAAUGUGAGAGAUCUUCUGUUCAAGUAAGGAAAAUCCAACGUUUGAAGAAACCAGCUGUGAUUGUGCUCCACUGUGCCAACUGUGACCCACAUCCUCAUCUGUUACUGCGCUUUAAACAGAAAGCACAACAUCUUCCGGAUACAUUUUCAGCAAAUUCCGGUCUGUAUUUGUUAAAUAAAC